CUAUCAGCUUUCGACGGUAUGGUAUUGGCUUACCGUGGCAGUGACGGUUAACGGGGGAUUAGGGUUCGAUUCCGGAGAGGGAGCCUGAGAAACGGCUACCACAUCUAAGGAAGGCAGCAGGCGCGCAAAUUACCCAAUUCUAACAGUUUGAGAGAGGUAGUAACAAGAAAUAACAAUACAAGGCAGUUAAAAUGCUUUGUAAUUGGAAUGAUAGAAAUUUAAACCCUUUUUAAAGUAUCAAUUGGAGGGCAAGUCUGGUGCCAGCAGCCGCGGUAAUUCCAGCUCCAAUAGCGUAUAUUAAAAUUGUUGCAGUUAAAAAGCUCGUAGUUGAAGUUCUGCUAAAAGUAACCGGUCUGCUUUUAAUAAAAGUGGUAUCUUGGUAUGUAUUUAGCAAUGAUGUCCUUUGAAGUGUUUUUUACUUUAUUGUAAUAAAGCAUAUUCAGGACUUUUACUUUGAGAAAAUUAGAGUGUUUCUAGCAGGCUGACGCUUUGAAUACUGCAGCAUGGAAUAAUAAGAUAGGAUUUUAGUUCUACAUUAUUGGUUUUAAGAGCUAAAUUAAUGAUUGAUAGGGACAGUUGGGGGCAUUUGUAUUUAACUGUCAGA
This 604-nucleotide ribosomal RNA is filed under the name Hepatozoon sp. JPM-2014. Its description in RNAcentral is "bacterial SSU rRNA". It matches the Rfam family "Eukaryotic small subunit ribosomal RNA", at positions 312 to 909 of the family's 1831-position model. Lineage: Eukaryota; Apicomplexa; Hepatozoidae. The record is from RNAcentral.